This is a long non-coding RNA of Carassius auratus (goldfish), 308 nucleotides long. RefSeq lists it as uncharacterized. The transcript has 3 exons. The record is from RefSeq and is a predicted model, not a curated record. NCBI's taxonomy places the organism in Eukaryota, Metazoa, Chordata, Actinopteri, Cypriniformes, Cyprinidae.
GAAAUGUUAUAAAAGUGAGUUGACAUACACAAUUUAUUUGAGCAGCUGUCGAUGUGGCAUGUGUGUUCAUCAAACUUAAAUAUUUGAAAUAAAAAAACACAUAAAAAUUAAGUUGGAUUUAUCCCUUUUUCACUGGCGGGGACUUUCCAAGGCAGAUGCUUCCUCGGCACUUCAACUGUUUGAAAGCUGCAGCGGAUCUAAAUUUCACAGACUGAUUAACACGUCUCCGGUGGGGCAUGCAGCUGUCGUGGGGUCCUCGUGUUAUCAGCAGCAGAGUUGUAACCAAGCGUUUUUGUUACCUGGGGUCU